GAAUUAUAUGUCUUAAAAGACAUAAAUAAAAUUUGAAAAAAAGGAGUAUCUUUAUGACUCGUAUAGCAGGUGUUAACGUUCCUGAU
This is a regulatory RNA element of Candidatus Tachikawaea gelatinosa, 86 nucleotides long. It matches the Rfam family "Alpha operon ribosome binding site". Rfam says of the family: The bacterial alpha operon ribosome binding site is surrounded by this complex pseudoknotted structure. Translation of the mRNA produces 4 ribosomal protein products, one of which (S4) acts as a translational repressor by binding to the nested pseudoknot region. The mechanism of repression is thought to involve a conformational switch in the pseudoknot region and ribosome entrapment. NCBI's taxonomy places the organism in Bacteria, Pseudomonadati, Pseudomonadota, Gammaproteobacteria, Enterobacterales, Enterobacteriaceae. The record is from Rfam.